CCGACGACUGGGCCGCGAGGCCGUGCCGCUCCAGUCCGCGCAGCGCGCGCUCGGUGUCGUGCUCGCCGAGC
RNAcentral lists this transfer RNA (71 nucleotides) under Streptomyces fructofermentans. Its description in RNAcentral is "tRNA-Trp". Lineage: Bacteria; Bacillati; Actinomycetota; Actinomycetes; Kitasatosporales; Streptomycetaceae. The record is from RNAcentral.